UCGAGGGAACACACCAGGAGCUUGCUCCUUUGACGUUAGCGGCGGACGGGUGAGUAACACGUGGGUAACCUACCUAUAAGACUGGGAUAACUUCGGGAAACCGGAGCUAAUACCGGAUAAUAUUUCGAACCGCAUGGUUCGAUAGUGAAAGAUGGUUUUGCUAUCACUUAUAGAUGGACCCGCGCCGUAUUAGCUAGUUGGUAAGGUAACGGCUUACCAAGGCGACGAUACGUAGCCGACCUGAGAGGGUGAUCGGCCACACUGGAACUGAGACACGGUCCAGACUCCUACGGGAGGCAGCAGUAGGGAAUCUUCCGCAAUGGGCGAAAGCCUGACGGAGCAACGCCGCGUGAGUGAUGAAGGUCUUCGGAUCGUAAAACUCUGUUAUUAGGGAAGAACAUACGUGUAAGUAACUGGUAACUCGUCUUGACGGUACCUAAUCAGAAAGCCACGGCUAACUACGUGCCAGCAGCCGCGGUAAUACGUAGGUGGCAAGCGUUAUCCGGAAUUAUUGGGCGUAAAGCGCGCGUAGGCGGUUUUUUAAGUCUGAUGUGAAAGCCCCACGGCUCAACCGUGGAGGGUCAUUGGAAACUGGAAAACUUGAGUGCAGAAGAGGAAAGUGGAAUUCCAUGUGUAGCGGUGAAAUGCGCAGAGAUAUGGAGGAACACCAGUGGCGAAGGCGACUUUCUGGUCUGUAACUGACGCUGAUGUGCGAAAGCGUGGGGAUCAAACAGGAUUAGAUACCCUGGUAGUCCACGCCGUAAACGAUGAGUGCUAAGUGUUAGGGGGUUUCCGCCCCUUAGUGCUGCAGCUAACGCAUUAAGCACUCCGCCUGGGGAGUACGACCGCAAGGUUGAAACUCAAAGGAAUUGACGGGGACCCGCACAAGCGGUGGAGCAUGUGGUUUAAUUCGAAGCAACGCGAAGAACCUUACCAAAUCUUGACAUCCUUUGACAACUCUAGAGAUAGAGCCUUCCCCUUCGGGGGACAAAGUGACAGGUGGUGCAUGGUUGUCGUCAGCUCGUGUCGUGAGAUGUUGGGUUAAGUCCCGCAACGAGCGCAACCCUUAAGCUUAGUUGCCAUCAUUAAGUUGGGCACUCUAAGUUGACUGCCGGUGACAAACCGGAGGAAGGUGGGGAUGACGUCAAAUCAUCAUGCCCCUUAUGAUUUGGGCUACACACGUGCUACAAUGGACAAUACAAAGGGCAGCGAAACCGCGAGGUCAAGCAAAUCCCAUAAAGUUGUUCUCAGUUCGGAUUGUAGUCUGCAACUCGACUACAUGAAGCUGGAAUCGCUAGUAAUCGUAGAUCAGCAUGCUACGGUGAAUACGUUCCCGGGUCUUGUACACACCGCCCGUCACACCACGAGAGUUUGUAACACCCGAAGCCGGUGGAGUAACCAUUGGAGCUA
This 1410-nucleotide ribosomal RNA is filed under the name Staphylococcus haemolyticus. RNAcentral's name for it is "bacterial SSU rRNA". It matches the Rfam family "Bacterial small subunit ribosomal RNA". Lineage: Bacteria; Bacillati; Bacillota; Bacilli; Caryophanales; Staphylococcaceae. The record is from RNAcentral.